Molecule: ribosomal RNA, 254 nt
Filed under: uncultured bacterium
Lineage: Bacteria
Description: partial 16S ribosomal RNA
Rfam family: Bacterial small subunit ribosomal RNA
Source: RNAcentral
UACGAGUGCUUCAAGCGUUAUCCGGAAUUAUUGGGCGUAAAGGGUGUGUAGGCGGUUUUGUUAGUCUCCCGUUAAAUUCUUCGGCUCAACCGAGGGUCUGCGGGGGAAACGGCAGAACUUAGAGGAUGGAAGGGGUCUCUGGAACUCAUGGUGUAGCGGUGAAAUGCGUAGAUAUCCGGAGGAACACCGGUGGCGAAGGCGGCUUCCUGGACCGACACUGACGCUGAGGCGCGAAAGCUAGGGGAGCAAACGGG